This is a long non-coding RNA of Gasterosteus aculeatus aculeatus (three-spined stickleback), 374 nucleotides long. Lineage: Eukaryota; Metazoa; Chordata; Actinopteri; Perciformes; Gasterosteidae. The record is from Ensembl.
CACUAGCCAGUUAUAUCCCUCAUGAGUCAGUAAGAACAAAGCAAGAGCUAAAAUAAGAGGUAAAAUUGGAUCUAAAUGAAUCAAACAGCAAGAAACAUGACUCAACAUCUUCCUAAUGGUGAUCUGAAAACCCUAUCGAGAAUGAAAAAGCUCUGAUAUUCUUCGUUGAAUCUUCUACAAAUACUCUUCACCUGCAUGUUGGAGCGUUUACAGUGAGUGCAGCACCAGCACCAGUUAGCACUACUUAAAACCAAAAUGCCCCAAAUCGUUGUCCAAAAGCUUCUGACUGGAAGCGUGUUUUGGAUUUCCAGGACGUGGCGACACAAAACAAGUGAUGUCAGAGGUCACCAGCGGCAGCAGCAACCUGCGUGUGG